UGAAAAAUAGUACGUCACAUGACUGGAAUGAAAAUUAAACAAUUUUAAUAACAAUAGGAAAUAGCUUAGUGGAUACAAUGAUCAAGUUUCUGUUAUUUACCAUUGUUUUAGGUAUUGUCAACGCUAUAUCGAAUACUACAAAUCUGUGUCAAGAGAUUAUGACAAUGGAUUGUACUGUUUCUUACACACCUGGCACACAAGAUGAAACGAUUUACGGAACGGACGGUGUUACAUAUAAAAACAUGUGUUUCUACUCCCAAUCAAGAUGCAAUGAUAAAACUCUACAGCCGAAACACACAGGGGCUUGUAUUCUCACCACCACAAUUUCGACUACAUCUG
Ruditapes philippinarum (Manila clam) is the source of this 339-nucleotide long non-coding RNA. RefSeq lists it as uncharacterized. NCBI's taxonomy places the organism in Eukaryota, Metazoa, Mollusca, Bivalvia, Venerida, Veneridae. The transcript is spliced from 3 exons. The record is from RefSeq and is a predicted model, not a curated record.